RNAcentral lists this ribosomal RNA (292 nucleotides) under Pseudomonas aeruginosa. RNAcentral describes it as "partial 16S ribosomal RNA". It matches the Rfam family "Bacterial small subunit ribosomal RNA", at positions 337 to 621 of the family's 1533-position model. The record is from RNAcentral. Lineage: Bacteria; Pseudomonadati; Pseudomonadota; Gammaproteobacteria; Pseudomonadales; Pseudomonadaceae.
UCCUACGGGAGGCAGCAGUGGGGAAUAUUGCACAAUGGGCGCAAGCCUGAUGCAGCCAUGCCGCGUGUGUGAAGAAGGCCUUCGGGUUGUAAAGCACUUUCAGCGGGGAGGAAGGCGGUGAGGUUAAUAACCUCAUCGAUUGACGUUACCCGCAGAAGAAGCACCGGCUAACUCCGUGCCAGCAGCCGCGGUAAUACGGAGGGUGCAAGCGUUAAUCGGAAUUACUGGGCGUAAAGCGCACGCAGGCGGUCUGUCAAGUCGGAUGUGAAAUCCCCGGGCUCAACCUGGGAAC